GGCGCACGGGUGAGUAACACGUAGACAACCUGCCUUCGAGCCCGGAAUAACCUUUCGAAAGAAGGGCUAAUACCGGAUAAGACCCAGGGCCGCAUGGCCUAGGGUUAAAAGGCUUGCUACUCGAAGAGGGGUCUGCGGGACAUUAGCUAGUUGGUGGGGUAACGGCCUACCAAGGCGACGAUGUCUAGCGGGUCUGAGAGGAUGAUCCGCCACACUGGAACUGAGACACGGUCCAGACUCCUACGGGAGGCAGCAGUGGGGAAUUUUGCGCAAUGGGCGAAAGCCUGACGCAGCAACGCCGCGUGAGUGAAGAAGGCCUUUGGGUCGUAAAGCUCUUUUCCAGGGGACGAGGCUGACGGUACCUUGGGAAUAAGCACCGGCUAACUCCGUGCCAGCCGCCGCGG
RNAcentral lists this ribosomal RNA (404 nucleotides) under uncultured bacterium. RNAcentral describes it as "bacterial SSU rRNA". It matches the Rfam family "Bacterial small subunit ribosomal RNA", at positions 97 to 520 of the family's 1533-position model. The record is from RNAcentral.